ACCUUAUACAGGGGAAUAGCCCAGAGAAAUUUGGAUUAAUGCCCCAUAGUAUUAUUGAAUGGCAUCAUUUGAUAAUUAAAGUUCCAACGGUAUAAGAUGAGCAUGCGUCCCAUUAGUUAGUUGGUAAGGUAACGGCUUACCAAGACAAUGAUGGGUAGGGGUCCUGAGAGGGAGAUCCCCCACACUGGUACUGAGACACGGACCAGACUCCUACGGGAGGCAGCAGUGAGGAAUAUUGGUCAAUGGGCGCAAGCCUGAACCAGCCAUGCCGCGUGCAGGAAGAAGCAUCUAUGG
RNAcentral lists this ribosomal RNA (294 nucleotides) under Flavobacterium sp. LMO9. Its description in RNAcentral is "partial 16S ribosomal RNA". It matches the Rfam family "Bacterial small subunit ribosomal RNA", at positions 128 to 421 of the family's 1533-position model. Lineage: Bacteria; Pseudomonadati; Bacteroidota; Flavobacteriia; Flavobacteriales; Flavobacteriaceae. The record is from RNAcentral.